GCAGCCAAUGAGAGACGGCGCACGGCCCUUAGCUUCCUUCGUGGGCCAAGAGCUGACCUACCGCCCACCCAUAGCUCCGCCCCCUGCCCUCGCGCCCGACCCCGGGACCCACAGGUCUGUAAUAGGUAGAGGAAGAGGACCAUACGGACCUGCAAGAUUCCUGUGCUACUAAGUUCGAAUCCUAGCCCCGCCGGUGGACCACUGAGAUCUGAGGCUUGGAUCCGCAGGUGGCCACGGUGAACUCAUCCUGGAAGCUGUUGAACAAAACAUUCCAGCCUUGUACUUGGUGGCUGUAUGAGUUGACUUCUCCUUGUUGGACAAAAUAUCUGACACCCACAACUUAA
This is a non-coding RNA of Heterocephalus glaber (naked mole-rat), 344 nucleotides long. Lineage: Eukaryota; Metazoa; Chordata; Mammalia; Rodentia; Bathyergidae. The record is from RefSeq and is a predicted model, not a curated record.